UACGUAGGGUGCAAGCGUUAUCCGGAAUUAUUGGGCGUAAAGAGCUCGUAGGCGGUUUGUCGCGUCUGCUGUGAAAACUGGAGGCUCAACCCCGGGCCUGCAGUGGAUACGGGCUGGCUAGAGGCAGGCAGGGGAGAACGGAAUUCCUGGUGUAGCGGUGAAAUGCGCAGAUAUCAGGAGGAACACUGGUGGCGAAGGCGGUUCUCUAGUACGGUACUGACGCUGAGACGCGAAAGCGUGGGGAGCGAACAGG
RNAcentral lists this ribosomal RNA (253 nucleotides) under uncultured bacterium. Its description in RNAcentral is "partial 16S ribosomal RNA". It matches the Rfam family "Bacterial small subunit ribosomal RNA", at positions 524 to 776 of the family's 1533-position model. The record is from RNAcentral.